AAGUCGUAACAAGGUUUCCGUAGGUGAACCUGCGGAAGGAUCAUUAGUGAAUUAUAGGGCGUCUACUUGUAGAGCCUGACCUCCACUUCUAACACUGUGCACUUGAUGGCGAGGUAAUUAUGAUCAGGCUCUCGGGCUUGUGAUGAGAACCUUGCGGCUUCAUUUUAAACAUUAGUCAAAGUAUGUAAAGAAACUUAAAACAAAAAAAA
RNAcentral lists this unclassified non-coding RNA (209 nucleotides) under plant metagenome. RNAcentral describes it as "partial contains small subunit ribosomal RNA and internal transcribed spacer 1". The stretch from base 1 to 46 matches the Rfam family "Eukaryotic small subunit ribosomal RNA", at positions 1786 to 1831 of the family's 1831-position model. The record is from RNAcentral.